This is a long non-coding RNA of Poecilia reticulata (guppy), 1991 nucleotides long. RefSeq lists it as uncharacterized. NCBI's taxonomy places the organism in Eukaryota, Metazoa, Chordata, Actinopteri, Cyprinodontiformes, Poeciliidae. The record is from RefSeq and is a predicted model, not a curated record.
AGUUUUUAUGCUGGAACAAGCUUCCAGAAAACUGAAAAACUGCUGAAUAUUUGCUUAGAGCUGCCUUUGAAUAAUGUUAACUGGAACGUCAUCGAUUUUAUCUGCAUUCCAACUUUUCAUUACUUUCCUUAAAACACUUUGAAUUGCUGAGCAGCUGCUGGAUUCAGAGAAUUUGUCUUGCUUCCCAAAAGCGAUUAUCCAACUGAGCGUGAAGUCAGAGGGUUUUGUGUCAUUUUAAAGUUUCCUCUCUCUGUGCGCGUGUUUGUCAUUCUGAUCAUAUCAGGAAAUGUCCGUGUUUUUGAUGAGUCACCACAGAUACAGCAGCAGCAGCUAAGCUACGUUUGCAGAUAACAGCGGUUCUCUUCCAGAGGCCUGAGGCUCUGCCAACAAGACUUCCUCUCUGUGGCCUCAUCCUUACCGAUGCGACUUCACUUCGCUUCACGGCCGUGUUCACGUCCACACGCUGCAGGCUGCAUGAAGCCAGUCCUGCAAAGUGUGAACUAAACCUAAGACAGGGACUGAAAGGCUUCAUUGAGAGGCUGAUUUCAUUUUCAAACAAGACUUUCCUGCUGCCCACACUGACAAAAGUAGCAAUAGCUACUUUUACUGACCAACUGAGAUGGACUGGCUGUCAAACUGGACUAGCCCUAAGAAGAAACUAUGAGGUUUAGUUCAAGAGGAAAAUAAGAAACACCAGAAUCAACAAUCCUGACGAACUGAAGGCAACUAGAAGCAACCAACCUGGGCUUUCUCAGCUGAGCUACAGGCUGAUCACCUCCAUGAAAUCCAUGCAAAACAAGCCAAGAGCAAGAAUACGUGUCAGCCCUGACUACAGACUCCUCUGGGAAAUCAGCCCACUUCCUGUUGCAUCGGAGGCAGAGGAGGAGCAGCGAGUGGAGGGAGAAAUCGGGAGGAUACAAAGAGGCUGCUCUACAGUUAUUUAGUCAAGCUGCACUUUUCAUCCUUCCUGUCAUACCUGGUUCAGUUAGAUGCUCGGACAGCGCAUCUCGAAGCGACCCAGUGGAUCCAGACCGAGAAAAGCCGCCAGCAUCCUUAUCUCAUCCGCAGAGGAGCGCUGGGCAGAGGAGGACUGCGGCGGAACUUCUCCAAGGAUGAGCCGGAGUCCGGCGCGCACUCCGCCGCUGCGAAAUAAACACAAACCCCCUACAGUCCGAGGGACCAACACACAGUAGUUCAGGCUGACCAGCGAGGAGACAUCCGGGACCGGAGGUGCACGACCAGACGGGUCAGAGGACGGAGACGCUCCGGGACAAGCGCCUUUUUACGCGCAUGCAGCCUUUAAAGCUACGGGUUCACCUUCUGAUCUUCACGGGAAUCCAAAGAUAUAGAUGUAAAGAAAUAGACCCCCCCAAAAAAAUAACAAAUGCUGAAAACAUUGAGAUAAAAUAAACAUCCAACAAGUGAUGGACUUGGAGGCAAAAGCAGAGAGCACUGGUGGGAGGACAGGGAGGAAGGGGAAGGAGGAGAAGAGCCGCCCCGCGUCACGGACCUUCUCUCUCUCUUGCAAAAAGAAGGAAAAAAAAAACGUGAUCUCCUUUAUUACACAAGCUGCACUGUAAGGAUAUCUGCAAAAAUACAGCAGAAACAGUGGGACCAUGACGAGGGAAAUGACUUAAUUUGACCUUUUCAGCUGAGCUGACCUUAUUGUUGAGAAAAUAAGAAAACUCUGUUUACCUCGGUCUCCAAAAUGCUGCCUCACCCUGUAUUACUGUAACUUAAAAAAAUCUGAAACCCGCAUAAAAAGACAAGUUUAAAGAAUAAAGCAAAACCUCCCACUGUUCUUUAAUGGUAUUAGAACCCAAACAAGCGUCUCUUUAUGAACAUUUGUUCUCUGAAGUUAAUUCCCCAGAAAUUUCCCACCAGCCCCAACCUCAACAUCCAACAUGGCCGCCACACAAACUGCAUUACUAGCAGCUCUUUAUUUGCUCUCCUGAUUAAAUUGCCAAAUCAGUAUUAAACAGUAGAUUAUA